CAGGUUCUGCGGCUCCCUGAGACCAGCAGAUUCCUGGUCUCCGGGUCCCUGGGUCCCGGACGUGUCCAUCAAGGCGUCCAUUAGGGCCAUCACCUAAUGGACAAGCAUCAGGGAGACACUGGCCUGAGCAUAAGUCUCGAGGGUCUGCCCUGUACUAAGCAAGCGCUUAAUCAGAGGAUGUGGCUUCUGCGGGAGAGCUUCAAAGGGUGCCCUACUUGCCCCUCUUGGUAACCAUGACGUCAUGGAAAUGGGAGGGGACCGCCCCAGCCCCCAAACACCUGGAGGGAAGUGGGAGACUUUUUCCACUUCCUGUUCUACUUGUGGCUACUGACUCAAUGUCUGACCUGUUUAUUAAUUGCAAAAUAUAGCUCUAUGUGUGCUACCCA
Molecule: long non-coding RNA, 386 nt
Organism: Homo sapiens (human)
Lineage: Eukaryota; Metazoa; Chordata; Mammalia; Primates; Hominidae
Product: long intergenic non-protein coding RNA 2332
Source: Ensembl